RNAcentral lists this ribosomal RNA (292 nucleotides) under uncultured bacterium. RNAcentral describes it as "partial 16S ribosomal RNA". It matches the Rfam family "Bacterial small subunit ribosomal RNA", at positions 32 to 314 of the family's 1533-position model. The record is from RNAcentral.
AAUCAACGCUGGCGGCGUGCCUCAGACAUGCAAGUCGAACGAUUAAAGCUCUCUUCGGAGAGUGUAUAGAGUGGCGCACGGGUGAGUAACACGUAAGUAAUCUACCUUCGAGUGGGGAAUAACGUCCGGAAACGGACGCUAAUACCGCAUAAUGCAGCGGCAUCGCAAGAUGACAGUUGUUAAAGACUUUAUCGGCUUGAAGAGGAGCUUGCGGCAGAUUAGCUAGUUGGUAAGGUAACGGCUUACCAAGGCUACGAUCUGUAUCCGGUCUAAGAGGACGGUCGGACACACU